GAUGAAGAACGUAAUGAAAUGCGAUAAUUAAUGUGAAUUGCAGAAUUCCGUGAAUCAUCGAGUCUUUGAACGCACAUUGCGCCUCAUGGCAUUCCGUGAGGCAUGCCCAUCUCAGCGUUAGAAAAUAUUCUCAAAUUUUAGUUUUGUGCUAAAAUUUGGAUCAUGUCAAGGAAGCUAUUACUAUUAUUGUGAUCGCUCUUUGGAAAUUGAUAGGUCUUUGAGUUGCUACUCAUAGAACGUGAUGAAUCUUUCUUCGUUCUAUUGUAAUUCACUCUGGUAGUCCUAAAACUUGUAUGCCUGUGGCAUAUCUUGUAAUUUGACCUGAGAUUGGGUAGGGAUACCCGCUGAACUUAAGCAUAUCAAUAAGCGGAGGA
Molecule: unclassified non-coding RNA, 374 nt
Filed under: soil metagenome
Description: partial contains internal transcribed spacer 2 and large subunit ribosomal RNA
Rfam family: 5.8S ribosomal RNA (bases 1-120)
Source: RNAcentral